UACGUAGGGAGCAAGCGUUGUCCGGAAUCAUUGGGCGUAAAGCGCGCGUAGGUGGCCCCAUAAGUCCGCUGUGAAAGUCAAAGGCUCAACCUUUGAAAGCCGGUGGAUACUGUGGGACUAGAGUACGGAAGAGGCGAGUGGAAUUCCUGGUGUAGCGGUGGAAUGCGCAGAUAUCAGGAGGAACACCAAUAGCGAAAGCAGCUCGCUGGGACGUUACUGACACUGGAGGCGCGAAAGCGUGGGGAGCGAACAGG
RNAcentral lists this ribosomal RNA (254 nucleotides) under uncultured bacterium. RNAcentral's name for it is "partial 16S ribosomal RNA". It matches the Rfam family "Bacterial small subunit ribosomal RNA", at positions 524 to 776 of the family's 1533-position model. The record is from RNAcentral.